AACGAACGCUGGCGGCAUGCCUAACACAUGCAAGUCGAACGAGACCUUCGGGUCUAGUGGCGCACGGGUGCGUAACGCGUGGGAACCUGCCCUUAGGUUCGGAAUAACUCCCCGAAAGGGGUGCUAAUACCGGAUAAUGUCUUCGGACCAAAGAUUUAUCGCCUUUGGAUGGGCCCGCGUUGGAUUAGCUAGUUGGUAGGGUAAAAGCCUACCAAGGCGACGAUCCAUAGCUGGUCUGAGAGGAUGAUCAGCCACACUGGGACUGAGACACGGCCCAGACUCCUACGAGAGGCAGCAGUGGGGAAUAUUGGACAAUGGGCGAGAGCCUGAUCCAGCAAUGCCGCGUGAGUGAUGAAGGCCUUAGGGUUGUAAAGCUCUUUUACCCGGGAUGAUAAUGACAGUACCGGGAGAAUAAGCGCCGGCUAACUCCGUG
This 433-nucleotide ribosomal RNA is filed under the name uncultured bacterium. RNAcentral describes it as "partial 16S ribosomal RNA". It matches the Rfam family "Bacterial small subunit ribosomal RNA", at positions 29 to 507 of the family's 1533-position model. The record is from RNAcentral.